CCUACCAAGGCGACGAUGGUUAGCUGGUCUGAGAGGAUGAUCAGCCACACUGGAACUGAGACACGGUCCAGACUCCUACGGGAGGCAGCAGUGAGGAAUAUUGCGCAAUGGGGGCAACCCUGACGCAGCAACGCCGCGUGAGUGAGGAAGGUUUUCGGACCGUAAAGCUCUGUCGAGCGGGAAGAAAUGCAUGGUGGCUAAUAUCCAUCAUGCUUGACGGUACCGCUAAAGGAAGCACCGGCUAACUCCGUGCCAGCAGCCGCGGUAAUACGGGGGGUGCGAGCGUUGUUCGGAAUUAUUGGGCGUAAAGAGCGUGUAGGCGGCCGAAUAAGUCAGAUGUGAAAUCCCUGGGCUUAACCCAGGACGUGCAUUUGAAACUAUUCGGCUAGAGUAGGGGAGAGGAAAGUGGAAUUCCUGGUGUAGAGGUGAAAUUCGUAGAUAUCAGGAGGAACACCGGUGGCGAAGGCGACUUUCUGGCCCUAUACUGACGCUGAGACGCGAGAGCGUGGGUAGCAAACAGGAUUAGAUACCCUGGUAGUCCACGCUGUAAACGAUGUUCACUAGGUGUUGGGGGUAUUGACCCUCUCAGUGCCGCAGCUAACGCA
RNAcentral lists this ribosomal RNA (605 nucleotides) under uncultured bacterium. RNAcentral's name for it is "bacterial SSU rRNA". It matches the Rfam family "Bacterial small subunit ribosomal RNA", at positions 264 to 859 of the family's 1533-position model. The record is from RNAcentral.